UACGUAGGGAGCGAGCGUUGUCCGAAGUUACUGGGCGUAAAGCGCGCGUAGGCGGGCCAUUAAGUGAGAGGUGAAAUUCCAGGGCUCAACCCCGGAACUGCCUCUCAUACUGUUGGUCUUGAGUGAGGUAGAGAGAAGUGGAAUGGCUGGUGUAGCGGUGAAAUGCGUAGAUAUCAGUCGGAACACCGGUGGCGAAGGCGGCUUCUUGGGCCUUUACUGACGCUGAUGCGCGAAAGCCAGGGGAGCGAACGGG
This 253-nucleotide ribosomal RNA is filed under the name uncultured bacterium. RNAcentral describes it as "partial 16S ribosomal RNA". It matches the Rfam family "Bacterial small subunit ribosomal RNA", at positions 524 to 776 of the family's 1533-position model. The record is from RNAcentral.